CCCUUCUUUUAAAAAGCACCAUGCUAAAAUCACCAGCUCAAGGCCUUCGGGUCUCGCUCUGGUGUUCAUGCUAGUACUGGUUAAUCACAAAGAAGGUAGAGCAAAAGCACACGGUCGGAAAUGAGUCUAGGAAGGACCUCUUUCUUAAUGUCCGGUGUCCAAGGUCUCGAGAUUUUGUGCCAUACAC
Rhinichthys klamathensis goyatoka is the source of this 187-nucleotide small nucleolar RNA. RefSeq annotates it as small nucleolar RNA SNORA81. The record is from RefSeq and is a predicted model, not a curated record. NCBI's taxonomy places the organism in Eukaryota, Metazoa, Chordata, Actinopteri, Cypriniformes, Leuciscidae. The transcript has a single exon.